RNAcentral lists this long non-coding RNA (214 nucleotides) under Chloebia gouldiae (Gouldian finch). RNAcentral describes it as "Erythrura gouldiae (Gouldian finch) lncRNA (ENSEGOG00005008533.1)". Lineage: Eukaryota; Metazoa; Chordata; Aves; Passeriformes; Passeridae. The record is from RNAcentral.
CGUCUGUUUGCUGUUGAAUUGGGUAUUUCCAGGAGACACAGCCAAUAAUUCCCUUGGUAUGCUCUGUGUAGGUCCUGCUUGGCUGGGAGGACCAUGGAAAAGCUGGAAUAACAACCAUGUAGAAGGCAACGAAGUUGUGAUCCCUACCCAGUUUUUGGGGCAGCGGGAGGACACUUCCAGGGCAGUGGCUCCCUGAGCACCCCCUAACAGUUCU